CAGUCUCUCCUCCUCACAGAAGCCUGGAGCUGGGCAUCCAAGAAGAAGCAGCCUCAUUUGUUUUCUGGUGUCAUCGUAGGUGGCCACCUAUGGCUUUUGGGCUUCUCACCUGGGGCGGGUGGGUUCUGCACCACCCUCCCACCCUCCUUCCUCCGUGUGGACGAUAGAGCCACAUCCAGCACCACGGACAGCUCCCGGGCGAUCCCAUGGGAGUAGAAGAGGUGUGAGCAGGUUGCCCAGCUGGUUAGCGGAAAUGCCAAGAUCCAGGCUCCUGAAUUUCAGCCUGGCCCUUUCUAUCUGUCUGAUACCUCCUUUACGAGUCUCUCUGCCUGGGUUGUGUGGAGCGGACCUGCUGCUGGUUGGGGGAGUUUGCAGGUUGCCCCUAUGCAAAAAAGGACAGGAUGCAUGACUGGCAUGUAAGGUGUUCAGGAAAACCAGGAAAAGCCUUCGUCUCCUCGUCCUCCAGGCAGCACAAGCCAUUGUGGAAUCUCCACCGGGUGUACAGAACGGUGCCUCUGCGUCCUGCCACUCAGGACCUCUCAAGUCCCCGAUGUGAUGGCUCCUCAGCAUGAUCAGGA
This 578-nucleotide small RNA is filed under the name Pan troglodytes (chimpanzee). RNAcentral describes it as "processed transcript". The record is from RNAcentral. Lineage: Eukaryota; Metazoa; Chordata; Mammalia; Primates; Hominidae.